UACGUAGGGUGCGAGCGUUAAUCGGAAUUACUGGGCGUAAAGCGUGCGCAGGCGGUUUGCUAAGACAGGUGUGAAAUCCCCGGGCUUAACCUGGGAAUGGCGCUUGUUACUGGCAGGCUAGAGUGUGUCAGAGGGAGGUAGAAUUCCACGUGUAGCAGUGAAAUGCGUAGAGAUGUGGAGGAAUACCGAUGGCGAAGGCAGCCUCCUGGGAUAACACUGACGCUCAUGCACGAAAGCGUGGGGAGCAAACAGG
RNAcentral lists this ribosomal RNA (253 nucleotides) under uncultured bacterium. RNAcentral's name for it is "partial 16S ribosomal RNA". It matches the Rfam family "Bacterial small subunit ribosomal RNA", at positions 524 to 776 of the family's 1533-position model. The record is from RNAcentral.